Molecule: ribosomal RNA, 253 nt
Filed under: uncultured bacterium
Lineage: Bacteria
Description: partial 16S ribosomal RNA
Rfam family: Bacterial small subunit ribosomal RNA
Source: RNAcentral
UACGAAGGGGGCUAGCGUUGCUCGGAAUUACUGGGCGUAAAGCGCACGUAGGCGGCUUCUUAAGUCAGGGGUGAAAUCCUGGAGCUCAACUCCAGAACUGCCUUUGAUACUGGAAAGCUCGAGUCCGGGAGAGGUGAGUGGAACUGCGAGUGUAGAGGUGAAAUUCGUAGAUAUUCGCAAGAACACCAGUGGCGAAGGCGGCUCACUGGCCCGGUACUGACGCUGAGGUGCGAAAGCGUGGGGAGCAAACAGG